Molecule: ribosomal RNA, 253 nt
Filed under: uncultured bacterium
Lineage: Bacteria
Description: partial 16S ribosomal RNA
Rfam family: Bacterial small subunit ribosomal RNA
Source: RNAcentral
UACGUAGGGUGCAAGCGUUAAUCGGAAUUACUGGGCGUAAAGCGUGCGUAGGCGGUUCUUUAAGUCCGUUGUGAAAGCCCUGGGCUCAACCUGGGAACUGCGAGGGAUACUGAAGAGCUAGAGUGCGGUAGAGGAGGGUGGAAUUCCCGGUGUAGCGGUGAAAUGCGUAGAGAUCGGGAGGAACAUCAGUGGCGAAGGCGGCCCUCUGGACCAGCACUGACGCUGAGGCACGAAAGCGUGGGGAGCAAACAGG